This 2064-nucleotide long non-coding RNA is filed under the name Canis lupus familiaris (dog). Its description in RNAcentral is "lncRNA (ENSCAFG00845016740.1)". The record is from RNAcentral. Lineage: Eukaryota; Metazoa; Chordata; Mammalia; Carnivora; Canidae.
AGAAGUGAUAGGAUUUACCCAAAACCACAGAGCUGGCAACCACAGACUGGGAGUAAUUGUAGGCCAAAUGUCCAGCAUCCCAGUCAAGUGCUAAUCGCAUCUCUUCACACCCUAUGGGGCAAUCAUAACUCCUAAGAACAGACAACAAAGCCAGAGAUUCUAUGCAGGAUAUUCAAUUGGUAGAAAGGGUUUGCAAAAUUAGAUGUAUUUCUUCUACAAUACCGGUAGGAAAGACACCAAGACUGUAGGUAGAAUUGACUCUGAGCAAUAUUGUGAAGUCAGUAAAGUAUAAAUUCAGUGGCCUCGGGAUCCCUGGGUGGCGCAGCGGUUUGGCGCCUGCCUUUGGCCCAGGGCGCGAUCCUGGAAACCCGGGAUCGAAUCCCACGUCGGGCUCCCGGAGCCCAAUGUGGGACUCCAUCCUGGGACUCCAGGAUUAUGCCCUGAGCCAGAGGCAGCCACUCAACUGCUGAGUCACCCGGGUGUCCCAGGUUAUUUGUUUUUCUCUCAUUAAUCUGUCUUUUUGUUAAAGAGCCCUGCUGAAAACCUAAGAUGAAUAAAGUUUUGCCUCUCUACAAAAAGAAGCAGAUCACUUGAUGAAUGUUUUUCUUCACUUCCGCUCUUCAUAUACUGAAACUCUAAUCACAAUGUGAUCAUAUCUGGAGUUGGGGCCUUUGGGAGGUAAUUAAGUCAUGAAGGUGGAACCUUCAGCCAGAGAGCUGACUCUCUUCUUCUACCAUGUAAGGACACAAAAAGUCAGCAAUCUACAGCUUAGAAGAGGACCUUUGCCAGAAUCCAAAUCUGCCAGCCCCCUGAUCUCAUACUUCCAGCCUCCAGAACUGUAAGAAAUAAAUUUCUAUUAUUGAUACAUCACUGUCUAUGGUUCUCUGUUAUAGCAGCCUGAACUAAGACAUUCCCCUUACAAAUCUCAUUUUGACUCUGUCCCUGUGAGGCAGAUGACAAACCAAUUACUGAAGUCACCAUUAUCUAGUCUAGUUACAAGUAGGCACACAAGAUAUUAGGGUUUGAUUUUUACAGAUCAAGCCAAGGACCAGAAAAGGUGGCUUCAGGAGCACCUGGCUGGCUCAGGUGGUUAAGUGUACAACUCUUGAUUUAGGCUCAUGUCAUGAUUUCAAGGUUGUGAGAUCGAACCCUGUAUUAGGCUUUGCACUCAGCACAGAGUCUGCUUGAGAUUCUCUCUCUCUCUCCCUUUCCUUCUUCCCUUCCUUCCCCUUGCACUCACAAUAAAUAAAUAAAUAAAUAAAUAAAUAAAUAAAUAAAUAAAUAAAUAAAUAAAAUACUUUUUAAAAAGUGGCUUCAUCAGCAGGUUAUGAGUCAAUGGGCUACAGAAGAAAAAGUGGGCUUUCCUGGCUCUUAAUGUCUUUUUAAAUCACUCCUUGUAUAUAGCAUCCUUUUCCCCUUCACUGUCUUUAGAGAGAACACUGAGAAUGAGGUGAGCAGAGUCAAAGUUCUUAUGAGGGUGAAAUGAAAGUUUCAGAAGCUCCAGGGCCACCUUGUCCUCCAGCCCAGUGGUGAGGACCUGAGGUGACUUGGCCUAUGUCUCUGCCUUUCUCAGUUUCUCUCAUGAAUGAAUAAAUAAAUAAAAUCUUUUUUUUAAAUAAAUAAAUAUAAGUCAAAACAUAGUCCCUACCUCUCAUGGAGUUUACAGUGAUUAUCCAUGAACAAUAACAUGAAUAACUAAUACAUAUAGAAUGAUUAAUAUGUGCCAGGCCUUCUUCUAAGCACUUUACAUUUAUUAUUUAAUUCACACAACUAGAAAGGUAUUAUCAUCACCGUUUUAUAGAUGAGGAAACUGAGCCACAGAAAGUCAGAAAUUUGCCCAAAGUCACAUGGCUACAGCAGUGGGACCUGUAUCCUACUUGCCACCACUUUACUGUCUUUACCAUCUUACUAACAUAGAUGUCACCUGAGGUGUUAUACUAAUCCAUUCAUUUAUUAAUUCAUCUACUCAUCCCACUGUUAUUAAACAUCUUUGAUGUGCCAGGGAUGUGGCUGUGGUUUUGGGAAAACAAAGAAUUAGCAGCAGUCCCUGUUAUUGAGUAGAUC